AACGAACGCUGGCGGCAGGCCUAACACAUGCAAGUCGAGCGGACCCUUCGGGGUUAGCGGCGGACGGGUGAGUAACGCGUGGGAAUAUGCCCUUCUCUACGGAAUAGUCCUGGGAAACUGGGGGUAAUACCGUAUACGCCCUUUGGGGGAAAGAUUUCUCGGGGAAGGAUUAGCGCGCGUUGGAUUAGGUAGUUGGUGGGGUAAUGGCCUACCAAGCCGACGAUCCAUAGCUGGUUUGAGAGGAUGAUCAGCCACACUGGGACUGAGACACGGCCCAGACUCCUACGGGAGGCAGCAGUGGGGAAUCUUAGACAAUGGGGGCAACCCUGAUCUAGCCAUGCCGCGUAAGUGAUGAAGGCCUUAGGGUUGUAAAGCUCUUUCAGCUGGGAAGAUAAUGACGGUACCAGCAGAAGAAGCCCCGGCUAACUCCGUG
This 433-nucleotide ribosomal RNA is filed under the name uncultured bacterium. RNAcentral's name for it is "partial 16S ribosomal RNA". It matches the Rfam family "Bacterial small subunit ribosomal RNA", at positions 29 to 507 of the family's 1533-position model. The record is from RNAcentral.